Molecule: ribosomal RNA, 440 nt
Filed under: uncultured bacterium
Lineage: Bacteria
Description: partial 16S ribosomal RNA
Rfam family: Bacterial small subunit ribosomal RNA
Source: RNAcentral
CCUACGGGUGGCAGCAGUGGGGGAUAUUGCACAAUGGGCGGAACCCUGAUGCAGCGACGCCGCGUGGGUGAAGAAGCGCCUCGGCGUGUAAAGCUCUGUUAGCAGGGACGAAAAUGACGGUACUUGCAGACGAAGCCCCGGCUAACUACGUGCCAGCAGCCGCGGUCAUACGUCGGGGGCAAGCGUCAUCCGGAUUUUCUGGGUGUAAAGGGGGCGCAGACGGCGAUGCAAGCCAGGAGUGAAAGCCCGGGGCCCAACCCCGGGACUGCUCUUGGAACUGCGUGGCUGGAGUGCAGGAGGGGCAGGCGGAAUUCCUGGUGUAGCGGUGAAAUGCGUAGAUAUCAGGAGGAACACCGGUGGCGAAGGCGGCCUGCUGGACUGCAACUGACGUUGAGGCCCGAAAGCGUGGUGAGCAAACAGGAUUAGAUACCCUAGUAGUC